GAACGCUAGCGGCAGGCUUAAUACAUGCAAGGCGAAGGGGCAGCAAUGUCACUGUCGUACGGGUGCGUAACGCGUAUGCAACCUACCUAUCACAGGGGAAUAGCCUUUGGAAACAGGGGAUUAAUACCGCAUAAAGCAGGGACACCGCAUGGUGAUAUUGCUAAAGAUUUAUCGGUGAUAGAUGGGCAUGCGUCUGAUUAGUUAGUUGGCAGGGUAACGGCCUACCAAGACGAUGAUCAGUAGGGGGCGUCAGAGCGUGGUCCCCCACACUGGCACUGAGAUACGGGCCAGACUCCUACGGGAGGCAGCAGUAGGGAAUAUUGGGCAAUGGAGGCAACUCUGACCCAGCCAUGCCGCGUGCAGGAAGACGGUCCUCUGGAUUGUAAACUGCUUUUGAAUGGGAAGAAUGUGUGGCUUGCGAGCUAUAAUGACGGUACCAUUAGAAUAAGCCACGGCUAACUACGUG
Molecule: ribosomal RNA, 466 nt
Filed under: uncultured bacterium
Lineage: Bacteria
Description: bacterial SSU rRNA
Rfam family: Bacterial small subunit ribosomal RNA
Source: RNAcentral